GUAGGGACGAGUGGGGGCAGCUGCCCCCAGUGAACUUUUAUUUUUGUUGAACUGGUCUCCGUUUUGCCCCCACAAUCAAUAUCCAAGAUUCCAAAUACUUGUUCUCCUCCUUCCUCCGAUCUAAUUCCCUCUGCAUGCUGGCUUUUCUGGCAUCCCUUGUUUAAGUGACCCCCUGAUUUGGAUUUUGUAUCCACUGAUCUACACCUCCAUCUACUUCUCAUACCUUGAUUCCGGAUCGAUCAGGCUCUGAAGUACAAAGGUUGCUGGGGUGGGAAAGAGAAGAAGAGGGAUUCAAGAUUGUGGUGGACUUCGGGGGGAGGAUUUGGGUUUGUUUCCGGAGAGGUGGAUUCGAAAAUUUUGAUCUAGUUUGGGGGAUAGUUUUCAGCAGGAAAAGAGGUGUGUUUGGUUUGGGUUUGUAUGGAUUAGCUGCUGCUUUGACAACUAUGAUGUUCCUCAGGGACAGUUGUGUGAAUUUCAAGUCCAUCUGUAUAGCAGCAGAGUAUUCAUGGGGGCUGUUUUUUUAUAUCUAUUUGAUGAUGCUAGUGAUACAUCAGAUGAUAGAUAGAUGGUCUAUCAUGAUAAGGUAGUACAUGCCCCUGGUUCGUCAUGUCAAAAGCAUGGGAAUGGUCCUCUGGUUGGGGUGAAAAGAUUUAUUUCUCUUGUUGGCGGGUGAUAUCUACAAUAUAGCAGUAUAUGUUUAGGUGCUUUAUUCACAAUUCAUGUAGUAAAUGAAAAUCUAUCAAUCUAUUUGAUAUAAAAUAUAGCGAUUGAAGUU
Molecule: long non-coding RNA, 775 nt
Filed under: Rosa chinensis
Lineage: Eukaryota; Viridiplantae; Streptophyta; Magnoliopsida; Rosales; Rosaceae
Description: sRNA RchiOBHm_Chr4g0436311
Source: RNAcentral